CAUGGCUCAGAAUGAACGCUGGCGGCAGGCCUAACACAUGCAAGUCGAACGGAUCCUUCGGGAUUAGUGGCGGACGGGUGAGUAACGCGUGGGAACAUACCCAAAGGUACGGAAUAGCCUCGGGAAACUGGGAGUAAUACCGUAUGUGCCCUUCGGGGGAAAGAUUUAUCGCCUUUGGAUUGGCCCGCGUUGGAUUAGGUAGUUGGUGGGGUAAUGGCCUACCAAGCCGACGAUCCAUAGCUGGUUUGAGAGGAUGAUCAGCCACACUGGGACUGAGACACGGCCCAGACUCCUACGGGAGGCAGCAGUGGGGAAUCUUAGACAAUGGGGGAAACCCUGAUCUAGCCAUGCCGCGUGAUCGAUGAAGGCCUUAGGGUUGUAAAGAUCUUUCAGUUGGGAAGAUAAUGACUGUACCAACAGAAGAAGCCCCGGCUAAUC
RNAcentral lists this ribosomal RNA (438 nucleotides) under Rhodobacter sp. RNAcentral's name for it is "bacterial SSU rRNA". It matches the Rfam family "Bacterial small subunit ribosomal RNA", at positions 18 to 502 of the family's 1533-position model. Lineage: Bacteria; Pseudomonadati; Pseudomonadota; Alphaproteobacteria; Rhodobacterales. The record is from RNAcentral.